Long non-coding RNA from Hypanus sabinus (Atlantic stingray), 2327 nucleotides. RefSeq lists it as uncharacterized. The transcript is spliced from 5 exons. NCBI's taxonomy places the organism in Eukaryota, Metazoa, Chordata, Chondrichthyes, Myliobatiformes, Dasyatidae. The record is from RefSeq and is a predicted model, not a curated record.
CUAAUCAAUGCGCACCUAAAUUAUUGGUCACCAUAACUGGAUUAUCGCGCCCAGCCCCAUGCUACAAAAGGUGAGACAGGUGCCUGGCUCGGUCUCUCUUACAGACCACCUCAUUGAAGGGGGUGAAUACUUGUCCACACAGACUCAAGACUGGAAUUGCUGCCAAAAGUGCAUCUACAAAAUACUAACUUGAAGGGGGUCACAGUUCAUCUUCUCCGCCCCAGCAAAAUAAGAACACAAGAUACAAGGGAAGGGGUCUGAAGAAUGCCCGAUCUGUAUGCUAGAGCACAUGCAGAUGCUGCCUGCUGGACUGAAUGCUCCGCUUUUGUUUGAGGUUCCCAGCACAUGCAGCUUUUUGGAUUAACUUCAGAGUUGGCAAAGCCUCACAUUGAACAGCUUCCAGUAGCAAAUUGGUUACCCUGGUACGAGAUAAUGGAUCGUCCAUCCCAAUGAGCCAGCGCCACCCAAUUACACCCAUGUGAGCAAUUACCCUGUUUUGGAACGUGGGAGGAAAUCAGAGCACCAGGAGGAAACCUAUCCAUUCAAGGCAAGAACGUGCACACCCCUUACAGCUAAUGGUGGGAAUUGAACCCAGGUUGCUGGUGCUGUAAUAGUGUUGCUCUACCGUGCUGCCCUCUGGCCACUGUGCUCUGUAUGUGCCACUCACUCAACUCAACUCUGUCACUUCGCAUCUUCUUCAGAGUGUCAUAAGGUUUCAAUUGCUCUGUCCCAGUGAUGAAGCCGGUUUCAGUUUUGGAAAAAUAGCCUUCCCAUCGCUAAUGAGACAUCUUCCCUCCUUUCACAUAGUAUCCAUUGCUAGGCUUGAAUAGCAAAGCGAUUUAGCAACAGUUUCUACUGUACAUCCAUGUAAGCCAUUCUAGAUGCUUUCCUAGAUGCAUUCGUUCACUUGCAGCCUAUAUCCAGUGGGGAUUUUCAUGCUCAGGAUGAAAAACAGCAGAGGUUCUACAUUUGGGAGCAUAUCAAAUCUAGAGAUUCCCAAUCCUUUUGCCGUGUUUCUUUUUAUUAUUUAUUUACAGGAUGUGGGUGUCACCAGCUAAGCCAGCAUUUAUUAUCCAUCCCUAGUUGCCCUUGAGUUGCACUUGAAAGAGCAUUUAUUCAGCCUUCUAACUAUGCAACCAAACCCAUCCCCCCUACCAUUAUAAAUCCCCACCCACCACGUUUUCAGCUUCAAUUGAAAUAACAUCUAUGCAAUAUUACAAUGCCCCAUAGUUUUCCCAACUGAAAAACUCUAAAAAAUUGCAUUAGAAGGAAAGAUUUGCAUGUUAUUUUAUGAACAUAUUCUACUUGGAACAAAUGUUUCAUGCACAUUUGAGGUGCUUGUACCAUUCAUAAUGGAGGCCCCACCAUUAGGACAUUGGACUGGGUACUUGCUGCUUUGUUGGUGUCAUUCCCCACUGCAUUGUACACACAUGAUGAUGUGAUCUAUGUGCGUGGAGCACGUUGCUAACAUACCGCCAGAACCUGGAUCGAGUGUCAGGACCUGCAUCUUCCAUUGUUCGUUCACAGAGAAAAUCAAACAGGAGGUUAUGAGCAAGGGUGGGACUUCUGCAUUAUUUUCACUGACUUGUUUAUUUUGACUUACAAAUUCUGCUCAUUCACAAAUAAGUUGUACUGAGAUAGAUUACUGUGCACUAGGCGCUGUGAUCUGUGAACCCAAGGAACAUCAUGACUGAAGUCCAGUCACCAGAUUAGUAUGUUCCACAGUAAGGAUGAUCUCCUAAUUUAUCUCUGCACUAGUUAAUGCUUUCCUGCAUCCAAUCUGCCUCCCUGAAUUCCCACUCACUCCCUCUCCUUCUUUCUCUCCUUAUUUUUACCUUUUCCCUCUUUGGUUUUCCAUAAACUCCUUGACAGGAUGUGAGGUUACUAUGAAGGGAACUUGAACAUCUUGAUCUACUCCCUAGUGAAUAAUGCAAAAAUAAAGAUGGCGUCUUCAAGAUCAGACAGUAGCUGCCUUUUCUAAACCGACAAGUCCAUCUUUGUUGGAUUAGUUUUAAUUGUUAUUUUUGUUGUAGUUUAACUUUCUUGAUGCUUGCUUACAAGUUUAUACAGUCACAUGUUCGUCUGUAAUUGUUCAAGUGAAUUUUCGGGAAUUGUAUCUUUUCUGGUAGCUUCUCUGCAGCCUGUGUCAAGACGUAGAACUUGACUGUCUCAAAGAUUGCUCCUUAUCACUGGAAUGUCUCUUAUCUGUCUAACUAGUAUAAGGUGACCAUGUCUUUUCCUUUGUCUUUUUUCCCCUCGUCCUUCUUCUUGCUUUGUUCUCUCGCUUCAACUUCUCUUCUGCUGUGGAAUUGGUUAUUGUUGUGUCU